GUGUGUGUGUGUGUGUGUGUGUGUGUGUGUGUGUGUGUGUUGUCUCCCACAGAGGCCAGAUGUAAGCCAACAUAAUGACACCAAACCAGCUGGCAAAAACUCCACAGAGUUCUUUGUGAAGAUCGACCCAAAUGGAAAAUAUCUCCGUCUCACCAACAAGUCUAAAGAGGACCUGAAACUGGAAGGCUGGAAGUUACGAGUGAAGCUCAACGACCAAAACCCCAUCAUGUUAACAUUUGAGGAGUCAAUUACACUCAAAGCUGAGGAGAAAGUCUAUAUAUUUGCCUCAGGUAUUGUCCUCCUUUCUCCUGGUACCUCUAACCUGAAAUGGAAGGACCUGCAUCGUUGGGCCAAAGGAGACAAACUCCUCGUUGAGCUCAUCAACUGUGAUGGAGAUAUCGUAAAAACCACUGAAGUAUAAUAAUCAGCCCAGCUGCCACACAUUUAUCUUACAGUAACUUUUUUGCUCCUUUUAAACUACAAUAUUCUCCCUGUAUACCA
This is a long non-coding RNA of Scomber scombrus (Atlantic mackerel), 501 nucleotides long. RefSeq lists it as uncharacterized. Lineage: Eukaryota; Metazoa; Chordata; Actinopteri; Scombriformes; Scombridae. The record is from RefSeq and is a predicted model, not a curated record. The transcript is spliced from 4 exons.